GUAAAAUUCACCAGUGGUAAAUUUCAGAAAACACUCUGAACUUCAACUUGCUAGCUUAAACAAAAGAAAUAUAUGAAUUACUGCACAGUGACUAUCAUGGCCGAGAAGUCAGUAUGCUGUACAUUCUACAAUGAUCUUCACACUCAGGAUUAAACGAAGAAUAAAUGCUCCGACAAAUGUCAUCUCUCUGGCUUU
Molecule: long non-coding RNA, 195 nt
Organism: Chinchilla lanigera (long-tailed chinchilla)
Lineage: Eukaryota; Metazoa; Chordata; Mammalia; Rodentia; Chinchillidae
Exons: 3
Source: RefSeq, a predicted model, not a curated record